This 2812-nucleotide long non-coding RNA is filed under the name Coffea arabica (coffee). Its description in RNAcentral is "long non-coding RNA (CARA_LNC004189)". The record is from RNAcentral. Lineage: Eukaryota; Viridiplantae; Streptophyta; Magnoliopsida; Gentianales; Rubiaceae.
AAAAAAGACAUCAGCAUCACAUUAGGAUUGGUUGCAAAAGGGAUGAACAGAAAGGUGUAGAUGGAGGAUCAUAGUUUCAAAAGGGGGACAACCACUUCAAAAUUCCAAAUAUUUUCUUUCACAGAUCUACAAGAACAUCAUUGGAAGAGGUGGCUCUCUUAUCAUUUUUUUUCUUUUGUGCAGGGAGGGGGUGGCGGCUGCUUGGCUUGGGCAGAAUAGCAGAGCAAGUACUAGUAGCAGAACAAAAAAGCCUUUUUAUAUCUCACAGCAAUUGUGACCUCUUGGGAGAAUCGAUGACUGCAUCUUUGAUGCAGUGCUAGUACUAGUACAUAUGCGAAUUCUUAAUUGUGUAGUUGUAAAUAGCCCCAGGGCUAUUGAACAAAGGAUUAUCCCGGACAUACACCGAGGUAUUAAUGGUGAUUUUCAAAUCUUGCAGAAUGUGAUAUGAUGAGAUAGAAUGCAAAGACAAGGAACGUAGCUGACUGCAAUGACUGCACUGAAAGUUCCGUGGAGGUCUACUAGGUUGUAAAAAAAUCAUGAAAUCAAAUACUAGUUCUUGCUGUUAUGCCUGUUUGUAAUGCAUAAACAAAUGUCUGCAAACUUCCAGUGAUUUCACUGAAUAUUAACCUAGUAUACAACAAGUGAGAAUGGUAUCUAUUAUCUGCAUAAAGUCCUUGUGGUCAUUCAGGUAAAGCAUAUACUUGUUCUUUUCCUUUUAUGAUGCUUUGCAUCUGUGUGACCUUUUCUUCUUCCUGAACUAGAUAAUUUGAGAUUCCAAUUCUGUAGUUGUAUUUCAUUUUAGAUAUUGUACAAGCUUGAUUCUCCUCUUUUGCAAAUUUUUGCACUUUUUGGAAGAGUCGUCUCUACUCCUUAGCUCCCUUUUGUCCUUAUUCUUGGUGUCUAAACUCAUCAGAUUAAGACAAAAAAUCAUAUGCCCCAUUAACUCCUCUCAAAGACCCAUUGGUCAUUCUCAUUUUCCUUUGUACCGCUGUUAAGUUCCUGCUCAUACUCAAAGGUCCAGUUCAGUAUUUCUCAAUCUCUGGUUUCAAGAGUUUAUCCAAGAGAUUAUAAUAGUCUUUGACUCGUGCAAUUGCCAAGAAAUUCCUAAGGUUUUCAUGUGUAGCUCAAUGUUUGUCCCCUUUUCUUAGUUAAUCUUCUCAUUACCUAAGUACUUUUGUUCAAAAUGAGUAAGCUGUUUUUCUUUUAAGUUUACAUUUGGGGUUUACUAAUUCACUUUUGUAUCUUCUCGUGGAAAUGGGAAGCUUUGAUGGGGUUUUGGUUUUAUGUGCUGAAUAUUGAGACACAUAUAUAACUUGCUUGGUACAUUAUCUGGAAAUGGCUUGGUUUGCUGGUUACAAGUUAUUCCAGAUGGCAGAGUUUGGCAGUAUAAAUCUGCUGUUCAAAGUUAAUAUGGUCUUGAGUUUUUAUUGUAUUUUUUUAUUAUUAUAAUUUUAACUAGUCCAAUUUUGUGAACCUUUGAAGUUGCUCAGUCAAAAUAUGAGGAAUGAGGGAAAGGCUAAGAAGUCAAACCUUUCGUUAUAAUAUCUAUACCGCUAUUCACUUGCCUUUGCUUUAGUAGGAGGGAGGAGGAGAGGGGGGGGGGGUGGGGGUUUGGGGGCGGAUGAACAAAAGAACAGGAGAUCACAUAUUUUUUCUUUCCCUUUAAGGCUCACUGCUAGGCUAUUUUCUGAGCAGUCAAGCUGGGUAGGUGCUUUGCUUUAGGCACUUUUUGUAAGCAUAUUUUGGCUACACCUAGGAGAUGAUAUAUAUAUAUAUAUAUAUAUAUAAACAAUGAGCUAGAAUGAGGUAUGGAAGGGCUUGUGCAGCAGCCCUUGUUGAUGUUCCUUGUGAGGCGGAAAGAGUUUUCUACUUUCACAGGGUCACCUGGACUAUGUAAAACUUGAUCUCUAAUCCCUUUUCCUUGCAGGAUAGAAAUUGUUGAGUUCCGUUAGUAUUAAGUUCUGUUUGGUUCGAGUACAUUUUCACUGUUGUUUUCUUCUGUUGGAGACAAUUGUUUGAUUUAUCUUCUGAGAUUUUCUACUAAAAUGGAUCCUGUUAUGCUUCUGGUAUAUAUUCAUUCUUUAUUCUGAUGUGCUUGUACAUUGCAUUUAUCACUAGGUGCAUUGUUUUGGCUUGCUCUGUAGGAAGAACAAGGGACAGAUGAAGUUUAUGCUGAACUUACUUCACACCCUGAAGUAGAUGUAAGCUGUUCUAACUUGCUCUCUCUUUAUUUCAUGGCCAUUUAAUUGGAUAUUUUCUUUGUUCCCCCAUUCCAGUUAACUUGAAAUGAAAAAAAAGGAAAGGCACCUUAACAAGUCAAUUUGAUGGGCAAUUAAAAUGUUAUUAGUACCCAAGUUUCAGUGAUAGCUCAUACAAGAAUGUGAACAUUUUACCCGAUCGAGUAAAGAAUUGACUUCAUAACUUUCAUCUGCCUCAUUAUGGACAAGUUGGUCUUCUAAUAUUUUGUAGCACUAUUAGUACAACCAAUUGUACAGCAGGUGGCUGCAGUGUUUGGUAUUGAAAGACUUUAAAGUCCUUCAUUCAAUACAACAGAGGCUUGUGGUCAUGUCAGCACCAGCUUUAACUGUUAUUUGAGUUUUUAGCAUUCAUUUAUUGUGGAGCCUCCGUGCGCAAAUAAGAGUUAAUGGGAAUUAUUGGACUAAAUAAAUGAGAAUGUAAAUUCAUAACUAUUGACUGCUAGAACUGCUGACUGGUUGCAAUUCUUGUGCUUCGGCUUCAUCUGUCUAAGAUGGAAUUAACUGUUAAUUACAUUUACCUCCCUUGAGGUUUGACCAAACAAUGAGAUUGUCCC